This 76-nucleotide transfer RNA is filed under the name Legionella clemsonensis. RNAcentral describes it as "tRNA-Ala". It matches the Rfam family "tRNA". From Rfam's summary of the family: Transfer RNA (tRNA) molecules are approximately 80 nucleotides in length. Their secondary structure includes four short double-helical elements and three loops (D, anti-codon, and T loops). Lineage: Bacteria; Pseudomonadati; Pseudomonadota; Gammaproteobacteria; Legionellales; Legionellaceae. The record is from RNAcentral.
GGGGCUAUAGCUCAGCUGGGAGAGCGUUUGCAUGGCAUGCAAGAGGUCGGCGGUUCGAUCCCGCCUAGCUCCACCA